UACAGAGGUCUCAAGCGUUGUUCGGAUUCAUUGGGCGUAAAGGGUGCGUAGGUGGCGCCGUAAGUCGGGUGUGAAAUUUCGGAGCUUAACUCCGAAACUGCAUUCGAUACUGCUGUGCUUGAGGACUGGAGAGGAGACUGGAAUUUACGGUGUAGCGGUGAAAUGCGUAGAUAUCGUAAGGAAGACCAGUGGCGAAGGCGGGUCUCUGGACAGUUCCUGACGCUGAGGCACGAAGGCCAGGGGAGCAAACGGG
This 253-nucleotide ribosomal RNA is filed under the name uncultured bacterium. Its description in RNAcentral is "partial 16S ribosomal RNA". It matches the Rfam family "Bacterial small subunit ribosomal RNA", at positions 524 to 776 of the family's 1533-position model. The record is from RNAcentral.